This is a long non-coding RNA of Etheostoma cragini (Arkansas darter), 324 nucleotides long. RefSeq lists it as uncharacterized. The transcript has 2 exons. NCBI's taxonomy places the organism in Eukaryota, Metazoa, Chordata, Actinopteri, Perciformes, Percidae. The record is from RefSeq and is a predicted model, not a curated record.
GUUUCCAGGGGUCACUGUGUAGGGACUUCAUGACGUACUUUUGCUGUCCAAUGUGUGCCACCUGCCAACUGAAGAGAGAUAUUGACCGCAGAAAGGAGCAAGGCAUUUUCUGAACAGCUGCAAUCCGCUGAGGGAAAUGACGUUCAUCACUUCCAGUCUGUUAACCAUUAGUCAGCUGCCUGGGAGUGGAAACACCUUCAUGAUUUAUUGUUACGGUUACAUAAAAACAUUUUAAAAGUUGUAUCUGUGCUGUCCUGUGCAGUUGACAGGAUGUGGAUUCUGUGUGUUUAACGGUGUUCUUUAUACUAAUAAAAAAUUAAAUUA